RNAcentral lists this long non-coding RNA (409 nucleotides) under Actinidia chinensis (golden kiwifruit). RNAcentral's name for it is "long non-coding RNA (ACHI_LNC002523)". The record is from RNAcentral. Lineage: Eukaryota; Viridiplantae; Streptophyta; Magnoliopsida; Ericales; Actinidiaceae.
GUGCUCAAAGCACAGCUGAACACAGCCCACCCUGCAAUAAUUAACUCAUUAGUCAACCUCGACAAUAUUUUUUAUACCGCAACCUCUAGAUUAGAAAAAAAAAUUAGUUUGGAAGUAGAACAAGGUUUCAAAUACCGAUACGUAAAGAUCUCGAUACUAAUGUUUUGGUCAAUAUUUGGAAGUAGAACAAGGUUUCAAAUAUUGACCAAAACAUUAGUAUCGAGAUCUUUACGUAUCGGUAUUUUGGCCCACUGAUACUUAUAUAUUUACCAAUGUGUCAAUUGAUAUUGUCCGAUACAAGCCGAGACCAAGGCCGCAUCACCAAUUUCAAUAUCAACACCGAUUUAAAACCAUGAAGUAACAUAACAUAAUUUAGUAUGUGGUAACAUCAAUUUUUAUAUGUUCUAGU